UUCAUCAAUCAAGAAAAUCCACUCAGACAAUUAAUUAGAUCAUCUUCUCACAAUCAGCUCCCACUCCAAACUCUUGUUAACAUGACUAAAAUGUGCCUAUCUCACAAGAUCUCUUUCUUGUUUUGUUUUCUCUGGUACUAACAGUUCAUUCUUUUUCGUCCCCAAACACUCCAGCAAUGGCUUUGCCAGACAUACCUUUUGAAGUAGAGUUUAUUGAAAAGAUUCUGCUACCAAAUAGUCUUACAUAUACUCAACGUUGCUGGGACCGUUGUGAAAUUAAUUUUGAUUGCAGAAAAUUGCCAGGUUGUGGGUAUUGUCGACGGCAGAGUUCUAAAUCGCCGUUUAAGAGAUGCUUGACUCCACGUUGACCGAUUUGAAUCUCAUAUAUUAUAAAAGUUUUUAAUUUUAUUGCAUUUUUACUCUAAUUACCAGCUCCUUCUCCUUCUGACCUUUGUAUCACUUGUAAGAUUUAUAAUAUUAGUGACUACAGUCAAACCUCUCUAUAAUAGACUCGUUUGUUCCGGAUA
Molecule: long non-coding RNA, 527 nt
Organism: Nicotiana tabacum (common tobacco)
Lineage: Eukaryota; Viridiplantae; Streptophyta; Magnoliopsida; Solanales; Solanaceae
Source: RefSeq, a predicted model, not a curated record